This 227-nucleotide ribosomal RNA is filed under the name uncultured bacterium. RNAcentral describes it as "partial 16S ribosomal RNA". It matches the Rfam family "Bacterial small subunit ribosomal RNA", at positions 15 to 231 of the family's 1533-position model. The record is from RNAcentral.
GAUCCUGGCUCAGGAUGAACGCUAGCUACAGGCUUAACACAUGCAAGUCGAGGGGCGAGCAUGGUCUUAGCUUGCUAAGGCCGAUGGCGACCGGCGCACGGGUGAGUAACACGUAUCCAACCUGCCGUCUACUCUUGGACAGCCUUCUGAAAGGAAGAUUAAUACAAGAUGGCAUCAUGAGUCCGCAUGUUCACAUGAUUAAAGGUACUCCGGUAGACGGAUGGGGA